RNAcentral lists this long non-coding RNA (523 nucleotides) under Homo sapiens (human). RNAcentral's name for it is "HSALNT0389793". The record is from RNAcentral. Lineage: Eukaryota; Metazoa; Chordata; Mammalia; Primates; Hominidae.
CAUCGCUGGAGGGCAGCCUGGUGGAGAUGGAGGUGUGUUACAGGACCCUGCCGGCCCAGCUGCAGGGGCUUAACAGAAGCAUGGAGCAGCAGCUGUGCGAGCUCUGCUGCGACACGGAGCACCAGGACCACAAGCACAGGUCCUUCUGGACGUGAAGACGUGGCUGGAGCAGGAGAUCGCCACCUACCGCCGCUUGCUGGAGGUUGAGGACGCCCACCACAGUGACCAGCCACCAGGUGUGCCAUCGUGGAGGAAGUCCAGGUUGGAGAGGUGGUCUUCUUCUGUGAGCAGGUCCACUUCUCCACCCACUGAGACCCCUUUCUGUCUGCGACAGCCCCACCUCGAGGGCCACGGCACAGCCAUCAGCUCCAGCUCCCAGCAUGCUACUGCCACGCCCCGAGUGUCCGUCUGGGCCCCGGUGCAUGGCCUGUUGUCUUUCUGUAUCUACUUUCUGCAGCCCCUCACUGAGGAGGCCUCCUGGGUUUGUCCAGUGCCUACUAUUAAAGCUUUGCUCCAAGUUCAA